UACGGAAGGUCCGGGCGUUAUCCGGAUUUAUUGGGUUUAAAGGGAGCGUAGGCCGGAGAUUAAGCGUGUUGUGAAAUGUAGAUGCUCAACAUCUGAAUUGCAGCGCGAACUGGUUUCCUUGAGUACGCAUAAAGUGGGCGGAAUUCGUGGUGUAGCGGUGAAAUGCUUAGAUAUCACGAAGAACUCCGAUUGCGAAGGCAGCUCACUGGGGCGCAACUGACGCUGAAGCUCGAAAGCGCGGGUAUCGAACAGG
RNAcentral lists this ribosomal RNA (253 nucleotides) under Segatella copri DSM 18205. RNAcentral's name for it is "Prevotella copri DSM 18205 partial 16S ribosomal RNA". It matches the Rfam family "Bacterial small subunit ribosomal RNA", at positions 524 to 776 of the family's 1533-position model. Lineage: Bacteria; Pseudomonadati; Bacteroidota; Bacteroidia; Bacteroidales; Prevotellaceae. The record is from RNAcentral.